This is a long non-coding RNA of Tachysurus fulvidraco (yellow catfish), 4820 nucleotides long. RefSeq lists it as uncharacterized. The record is from RefSeq and is a predicted model, not a curated record. Lineage: Eukaryota; Metazoa; Chordata; Actinopteri; Siluriformes; Bagridae. The transcript is spliced from 4 exons.
AUGCUUUAAAGCUGCAAUGAAGCUUGUUUCUGGGUCAUCCCCUAGUGGUCACUUUGUCUGCCGUGCCGUGCAUGGCACGGCGAUCCGUAAGAGGAACCUCCUUGUCAAAAUGACACAUUUGUGCGAAUUCUAUUCAUAGGCAUAAGUUCAGCAUUAAGUUCAAUCAUUACUCAACAUCUGACUGAAAAGCUGUGCCUGAACAAUUUCCUCUGCUGUUGGAUUUUAGAUUUCCUUAUUGGAAGACCUCAGUCAGUCCAAAUCAAAAAGCACCAUCACUAAACUACACCACAGUGAGCAUUGAGACCCCUCAGGGCUGUACACUCAGGUCACAUCUGUUCACUCUGCUCACUCAUAACUGUGCAGUUAUACACAGCUCAAACAACAUCAUCAAGCUCACCAAUGACACGACAGUGCUUGGUCUCAUCAGCAAGAACAAACUGUCAGCAUACAGAGAAGAGAGAAAACAGCUAAUAGCCUCAAAUAGAGCCAUCUGUCUCUGAUCAUGGGCAAAACAAAAAACGAUGAUUGUUGACUUCAGGAAGGCAGAGUGGCCAUGCUCUGAUGAAGAUUUACUUGAAGAUCCUCCAUGAAGAUCAUCAAGGGCAUUAAAUUCCUUGAUGUUCACCUAGCAGAGAAUCCCAUCUGAUUCUUCAACAUUAGCUCCACCAAGAACAAAGCUCUGCAGCAUUUCUACAUUUUGUAAAUUCUGAGGAAAGCCCAUCUCCCACCCCUAUCAUUAUCCUGUUUUACUGGCUGACUAAUGUGAGUUUACUGAGCAGCUGCAUCACUGCGUGUUCUGCAAAGUCCCUGCAGUAGAUAGUGAGGGCAGCUGAGAAGAUCAUCAGCAGUCUCAUUUACACCACAUGCUGCAUCUGCAAGGCCAACAGCAUUGUGGAGGACCCCACACACACCUCACACACACUCUACACACUCCUGUUGUCUGUAAAAAGGUACCGAAGCGUUCAGGUCUUCACAACCAGACUAUGUAACAGUUUCUUCCCUUUACACCUUUACACUCAGUCUACAAUCGUUGCAAAUUAAAUUGUGUAAAGCGUGAGCUCAUUGUAAAUGCUUCACACUCCGGUCCAGUUGGUGGUUUUAAAUGCACCAUCUAAGCUGGUCUUCCAACCACCAUAAAACAUUUAAAGAAGAAGAAAAAGUUGUGCAUGGGAUUGUUACACCGCAGAAAUGGCGAGUGGCCUAUUUACAUACUUUUAGAUGUGCAAUGUGGUCUGGUCUUUUUUUUUUUUUAGCAGAGUACUGCUCACACAUGCUACUGUACAUGUAUACCAGCCAUUUUACCUUCAGUAAUCACACCAAAACUGCUAGCUGCAGCUAGUUUGCCUAUCAGUAUUUGUGAAUUGUUAGGCCUGUUAUGUCAGAUCAUUACAACAUCACUAACUUUAUAUUUCAAUAUAUAAUUUUUUUUUAUUUAUAGUUAUAUUUCAAUAAUUAACAAGCGCUGUAAAACAACAGUAAGCAAGAAUGCUGCACUGGUGGAAUAGCGUAAACUAUCAUUGCUCUUUGGAUAAAAAGAUGAAGUACGCCUACUCUUAGACACUCAUAUUAAAGAUAAAAAGCCUUAUUUCACCACGCUAUAUGACUAGUUUUUUUAACAACAACUUCUAUCUGUGGAACUGGAGCUGUUUUAUGUUAAAAGCUUCAACGUCACUUCCCAUUUACCAAAACUCAAAGUGACUGACAUUCAUCCUCUUAUUAACAUAACAAGCAACUUUACCCAGACAUCAGAGGCAACACUACAUCAUUAAGAAUGUAAAGUGUAGAUCUACAAAAGUGUAGUUUAAAGUACUUUAUGAUACACACUUUCUUUAGGAUACACAACAAUUGUCCAAAGAAGACUUCUUAAUCAAUUAUCAAAUACAGUAAUCAGUGAGAGUGGCUAAGGUUGUCCUCUCAAACAAAAAUAAUUUGUAAAAGGUGUAUUUGUUUCAUAUAAUGUUUUACUAAUACAGAAGUUCUUUUUGGCCUGUUAGGAUUUGGAAACAAAAAUUAAGGCAUUGAAAAGACAGCAACAAAAAGAAAAGAAAAUCAAAAAAGAUCAUUUAGGCUCUACAGAAAAAAAAUUAAAACACUUCUGAUAGUGAACACUCCUCCAGAGAACUUGAAUCAGACUACUCAUCAGACGACUCAGGAAAUAUGCUGAAUGUUGUGGAGCAGCAUCUAAAUGAAGACUUGCAAGAACAGUAUGAUUCAGAAUCACAACAGAAUACCAUAAUUAAUAUGCAAGAUCAAGUGCUAUGGUAUGAAAUUGAUAGACUAAAUGAUUCCAUGGAUGUUACCAGUGAAAGUAACUCAGAGCUAGCUUUGUCUCUGGAGAAAAAGCUGUCUGAGUGGGCAAUGAAGUUCAACAUCUCCAUGACCUCUCUCACUCAUUUGCUUAAGAUUUUGAAGGAACAUGACAUUGAUGUUCCAGCAGACGGACGAACACUAUUGAAAACACCUCGUUCUGGCAGUUUGAGAAUAACAGAAAAAUCAGGUACAUUUUAACUUUGAAAAUGUCCAUGCACUCAUUUGGCAAUAUUAUUCAGAAAUUUCAGUGAACUGUAAAAUCUUGUUUUUGAUAGGUGGCAAAUACACAUAUUUUGGAUUAAAGGAAGGUCUUUUACGCAUACUCUGUCGGAGCAAGACACUUCAAAAUAAGACCACUUUGAGAUUUCUUUGAAUAUUGAUGGCCUUUAUUGAUGAAUAUUUCCAGUCCAAAAACCUCACAAUGUGGCCACUUCAGUGGAGGAGCUGCAAGAACUGAUGGAAACAGGCUUUAAAGGGAAGAGAAUUGUCCUCAAAAACAUCAUAUGUGAUGCACCAGCACGAGCCCUCAUCAAAGGAAUAGUUCAGUUUAAUGGCCGCUAUGGCUGUGACUUUUGUGAUGUAAAGGGAGUUCAUGAGAGCAAAAUGCUUUUUUUUGUAUAAAGGAAAUCUCAGAACCAAUGAGUCAUUUAGACAGAAGACAAAUCCUGAACAUCACAAAACAGAUAGCAUUCUUUUGAAUCGGCACAUUGAUAUGAUCAGGCAGUUCCCAAUAGAUCCCAUGCAUUGUGUAGAUCGAGGAGUGACUAAGCGAAUGUUGAUGCUGUGGAAAGAAGGACCUUUGGCCCAUAGAUUAUCAGCUGGACAUCUUAGCACCAUUACUUAUUUUCAUCAAGCUGUCUGACAUCACAUACCUCCUGAAUUCAAUAGGAAACCCAGGGGGUUAGAUGAACUGAAGCACUGGAAAGCAACUGAAUUCCGAACAUUUUUGCUUUAUACUGGACCAGUGAUUUUGAAAUAUGUUCUCGAUAAGGAGAAGUAUAUUCACUUCCUUUCACUUAGUAUUGGAAUGCGCAUCUUGUACAGUGAAAACCUAAUGGAGCAUCGUGAUUAUGCAGAUGAGCUGUUAACAUAUUUUGUUGAAAAAGGUAGCAGCCUGUAUAGCAUGAGUUUCAUCUCAUAUAAUGUGCAUUGCUUGCUACAUCUCACUGAUGUUGCAAAUUACAACAGAUCAUUACACUAUUGUUCAGCGUACAAGUUUGAGAACAAUAUGGGUCAAAUCAAGAGGUUUAUCCGCGGUUCAAGUGAUCCACUGAUUCAAGUAGCUAACAGAUUGGCAGAGAGGCAAGCAAUAUCAAGUUCUAAGAAAUCAAAUGUUACCUCUGGUACGCCAAAGACAAAAGAAUGUUACAGAAUGACCAAUGAUAGCUACUGCCUUAUACAUGGAGUUCAAGAAAAUCUGAUUUUUUUGUGAGGUUUUUUGCAGAAUGGAACCUUUGUACACUAAGCCAUGUGACUCCAGAAUAAUUGGCAUAUUCAAAGGAUUUCGGAAUCACACUAAAAUGUUACAUACUGACACCACUCAACUGAGACAUAAAGCAAUCAUGAUACCUUUGUCCUUGAUUGAUAAAGAUGAAUACAAUGCGGUAGCGCCUAUACCGCUCAUGCAUUCAGUUUGAUUAGUUAGUCAAGUAAGUCAGUAAGGCAGGGUUUUUGCCUUUUUUAUUGCAUGUUAUCCUGAUUUUGAUCCAAAGACUAUGAAUAAUGUGUGUGUGUGUGUGUGUGUGUGCGUGUGCGUGUGUUUUUUUUUUUUUUUUUUUCAUUGUACCAAAUGUCCCCACAAUUAAAGUGAACCACCUACAUGUGCAUUGUGGAUAAAACGAUCAGGGAAAAAACGGUUUAAUUGAUGUAGAAAAAUAAAUAGAGAAACAAUAUAACUGAUUUAGAUAAAUGCAAUUUCACUGACCUUAUGUAUGUAAUUUUGAUAACAGGGAAGGAACCAAAGGAAACAAAAUGCAAAGUCACCAUGGAGAAAUUGUUUGAUCUGAAUACUAAGAUACUCCAACAAAUUCAAAUGCUGGAACAGAGACAAGCUGUCAUCAUGAAUGACUUGGCAAAAGUUAAGUCUGUUCUCAUGAAGCGGGCAGAAGAAGAUGCCCAUGAGGAACUUUUUAAACAACAACAGUGCUCCAGCUUUGAAACGUUUGAAGCCUUCUUAUCGAGAGCUUUAUGUACACUAUCUCAUCCAUACUCACGGCAGCUCCAGUAUAGGUGAGAUGGUGAGACAGGCUUUAAAAAGCAUAGCGUCAGACAAUGUUCUCUGUCUGUAUAACAGAACGGGGAAAGAUGGGAAGAAGGUGUUGCCACCUGUGCUCCUGACAUGUUUGAAAAAAUGUGUCAGGUCUUUUCACAAACAAAAUGAAAUAGAGGUGAAGAAGCUAAAAGUAACCACCAGAACAACACCAGACGCGGAAUGUAUUCGCCAAGUAGAAAUUUUUUUGUCCAACGCCAACACCAGGCUGAAAAGGAAACCAAAUAAAGGAAAAAGCUGA